Molecule: ribosomal RNA, 1438 nt
Filed under: uncultured organism
Description: SSU rRNA
Rfam family: Bacterial small subunit ribosomal RNA
Source: RNAcentral
UUAACACAUGCAAGUCGAGGGGCAGCAUGGUCUUAGCUUGCUAAGGCCGAUGGCGACCGGCGCACGGGUGAGUAACACGUAUCCAACCUGCCGUCUACUCUUGGACAGCCUUCUGAAAGGAAGAUUAAUACAAGAUGGCAUCAUGAGUCCGCAUGUUCACAUGAUUAAAGGUAUUCCGGUAGACGAUGGGGAUGCGUUCCAUUAGAUAGUAGGCGGGGUAACGGCCCACCUAGUCUUCGAUGGAUAGGGGUUCUGAGAGGAAGGUCCCCCACAUUGGAACUGAGACACGGUCCAAACUCCUACGGGAGGCAGCAGUGAGGAAUAUUGGUCAAUGGGCGAGAGCCUGAACCAGCCAAGUAGCGUGAAGGAUGACUGCCCUAUGGGUUGUAAACUUCUUUUAUAAAGGAAUAAAGUCGGGUAUGCAUACCCGUUUGCAUGUACUUUAUGAAUAAGGAUCGGCUAACUCCGUGCCAGCAGCCGCGGUAAUACGGAGGAUCCGAGCGUUAUCCGGAUUUAUUGGGUUUAAAGGGAGCGUAGAUGGAUGUUUAAGUCAGUUGUGAAAGUUUGCGGCUCAACCGUAAAAUUGCAGUUGAUACUGGAUAUCUUGAGUGCAGUUGAGGCAGGCGGAAUUCGUGGUGUAGCGGUGAAAUGCUUAGAUAUCACGAAGAACUCCGAUUGCGAAGGCAGCCUGCUAAGCUGCAACUGACAUUGAGGCUCGAAAGUGUGGGUAUCAAACAGGAUUAGAUACCCUGGUAGUCCACACGGUAAACGAUGAAUACUCGCUGUUUGCGAUAUACGGCAAGCGGCCAAGCGAAAGCGUUAAGUAUUCCACCUGGGGAGUACGCCGGCAACGGUGAAACUCAAAGGAAUUGACGGGGGCCCGCACAAGCGGAGGAACAUGUGGUUUAAUUCGAUGAUACGCGAGGAACCUUACCCGGGCUUAAAUUGCAGAUGAAUUACGGUGAAAGCCGUAAGCCGCAAGGCAUCUGUGAAGGUGCUGCAUGGUUGUCGUCAGCUCGUGCCGUGAGGUGUCGGCUUAAGUGCCAUAACGAGCGCAACCCUUGUUGUCAGUUACUAACGGGUUCCGCUGAGGACUCUGACAAGACUGCCAUCGUAAGAUGUGAGGAAGGUGGGGAUGACGUCAAAUCAGCACGGCCCUUACGUCCGGGGCUACACACGUGUUACAAUGGGGGGUACAGAGGGCCGCUACCACGCGAGUGGAUGCCAAUCCCAAAAACCUCUCUCAGUUCGGACUGGAGUCUGCAACCCGACUCCACGAAGCUGGAUUCGCUAGUAAUCGCGCAUCAGCCACGGCGCGGUGAAUACGUUCCCGGGCCUUGUACACACCGCCCGUCAAGCCAUGGGAGCCGGGGGUACCUGAAGUGCGUAACCGCGAGGAGCGCCCUAGGGUAAAACUGGUGACUGGGGCUAAGUCGUA